GUGUCAGCCGCCGCGGUAAGACGAAGGUGGCUAGCGUUGCUCGGAUUUACUGGGCAUAAAGCGCGCGUAGGUGGUCGUGUAAGCGGGGGAUGAAAGCCCAUGGCUCACCCAUGGAACUGUCCCCCGGACUGCACGGCUCGAGGAAGGAAGGGGAGAAUGGAAUUCCCGGUGUAGCGGUGAAAUGCGUAGAUAUCGGGAGGAACGCCGGUGGCGAAAGCGAUUCUCUGGUCCUUUCCUGACACUGAGGCGCGAAAGCUAGGGGAGCAAACAGGAUUAGAAACCCCCGUAGUCC
Molecule: ribosomal RNA, 292 nt
Filed under: uncultured bacterium
Lineage: Bacteria
Description: partial 16S ribosomal RNA
Rfam family: Bacterial small subunit ribosomal RNA
Source: RNAcentral